GAUGAAGAACGUAGCGAAAUGCGAUAAGUAAUGUGAAUUGCAGAAUUCAGUGAAUCAUCGAAUCUUUGAACGCACAUUGCGCCCGCCAGUAUUCUGGCGGGCAUGCCUGUUCGAGCGUCAUUUCAACCAUCAAGCCCCCGGCUUGUGUUGGGGACCUGCGGCUGCCGCAGGCCCUGAAAAGCAGUGGCGGGCUCGCUGUCACACCGAGCGUAGUAGCAUACAUCUCGCUCUGGGCGUGCUGCGGGUUCCGGCCGUUAAACCACCUUCAUAACCCAAGGUUGACCUCGGAUCAGGUAGGAAGACCCGCUGAACUUAAGCAUAUCAGUAAGCGGAGGA
Molecule: unclassified non-coding RNA, 336 nt
Filed under: soil metagenome
Description: partial contains 5.8S ribosomal RNA, internal transcribed spacer 2, and large subunit ribosomal RNA
Rfam family: 5.8S ribosomal RNA (bases 1-120)
Source: RNAcentral